This 697-nucleotide ribosomal RNA is filed under the name uncultured Desulfitobacterium sp. RNAcentral describes it as "bacterial SSU rRNA". It matches the Rfam family "Bacterial small subunit ribosomal RNA", at positions 417 to 1103 of the family's 1533-position model. Lineage: Bacteria; Bacillati; Bacillota; Clostridia; Eubacteriales; Desulfitobacteriaceae. The record is from RNAcentral.
UUCGAUCCGUAAACCCCUGUCAUUCGUGAACAAUGCUUACCAUUGAAUAUUUGGUGAGUUGAUAGUAGCGGAAGAGGAAGGGACGGCUAACUCUGUGCCAGCAGCCGCGGUAAUACAGAGGUCCCGAGCGUUGUUCGGAUUCACUGGGCGUAAAGGGUGCGUAGGUGGCUGGGAAAGUUUGAUGUGAAAGCUCAGGGCUUAACCCUGAAAUGGCAUUGAAUACUAUCUGGCUGGAGGUUUGAAGGGGGGACUGGAAUUCUCGGUGUAGCAGUGAAAUGCGUAGAUAUCGAGAGGAACACCAGUGGCGAAGGCGAGUCCCUGGACAACACCUGACACUGAGGCACGAAAGCCGGGGGAGCAAACAGGAUUAGAUACCCUGGUAGUCCCGGCCCUAAACGGUGCGCGUUUGCUGUAGGAGGAAUCGACCCCUUCUGUGGCGAAGCUAACGCGAUAAACGCGCCGCCUGGGGAGUACGGUCGCAAGAUUAAAACUCAAAGAAAUUGACGGGGGCCUGCACAAGCGGUGGAGUAUGUGGCUUAAUUCGAUGCAACGCGAAGAACCUUACCUGGCCUUGACAUGCAUGUGGUAGAACCAUGAAAGUGGGACGACCCCGCAAGGGGAGCAUGCACAGGUGCUGCAUGGCUGUCGUCAGCUCGUGUCGUGAGAUGUUGGGUUAAGUCCCGCAACGAGCGCAACC